GUGAAUCUCACCUGGAAAUGGUAUUUCGAGAUACCUAAAAUCUGAACCAAGGAAAGGACUACUUUUUUCAAAGCAUGGUCAUCUUCAAGUACAAGCCUUUACAUAUAUAGAAUGGGUUGGAUCUCUUGAUAAUAGAAGGUCAACAUCAAGCUAUUGCAUAUUUGUUUGAGGUAAUCUAGUUACCUAGAGAAGCAAAAAAAACAUAAUGUGACAGCAAGAUCAAGUGCAGAAGCAAGAGAAUAGAGCUAUGACACAAGCAUCUGUGAAUUGUUGCGAUUGAAGAAAUUGACGGAAGAGUUCAAGUUGUCAGAAACGAAUGUUUAUCCUUGUGUUUUGUGACAACAAGGCUGCUAUUA
Molecule: unclassified non-coding RNA, 356 nt
Filed under: Hevea brasiliensis (rubber tree)
Lineage: Eukaryota; Viridiplantae; Streptophyta; Magnoliopsida; Malpighiales; Euphorbiaceae
Source: RNAcentral